UCUUACUUAUUUUCCUUUCCUUACUAGCUCUGUGUAUGUGGGUUUUGGCAUGGGUCUGGGGGUGGCAUUUGCACUUGAAUGCUGGUGCUCAGGCAAUGUGUCGUUUGUGUGCUGGGGUAGGAGGAUGUCUGCCUCCUGUGAAUUGCUGUGCGGAGCCACUUAUGGGCAUUUACCUGACUGAAUGCAAGGGAAGAAGAUUGAGCUUAGCAUGAGGAAUGCUGAUUAUACGUAAGAAAGAACUCACAGCCAUGAGAGUUGUUGGACACCUGUAUUCUCCAACUACACCAGAAGAGGAGACUAGAACACAGACAGAUACGGCGGAAAGACUAUUUGAAGAAGACCAUCAACAAGCCAAGAAAAGAGGCCUCAGAAGUCAAUCCUGUUAACACCAUAAUCUGGGAUUUCUAGCCUCCAGAACUGUGAAAAAUAAAUGUAAAGUACCUAGUCUAUGGUACUUUGUUAUGGCAGCCAUAGCAAACUAAAACAGUAUCUAAAUAUGUCUUAGCCAUUCACUUGCUGCGUGACCUUGGACAAGUCAUUAAAACUCUCUGAGCUUCAGUUUCCACAUGAGCUCUAAAUUUCCUUCAAUAACUAACAUUCUGUGAGUCUUUAUAAAAAGAAAGCCCCAGUUACAUUACACAACUUUUACUUUCUUGCCAAUGAUGUUAGUUGUAAGAGGACACAGUUCUAGACACAUGUACUCAUGCAACCACCUACAUAGCCUUUCAUUAUCACACUAUCCUUCUAAGCUUACAGUCACACGAACCUUUCACUACUCUAAAUGCCAGUGUAGAUCCAGCUUGCAAUGCAAACACAUUUAGGUGCCCUGACUCAGAUGCUCUCUCUUUGCUGCAUCUCACAAAAAAAAUUGGUUGAAAUUGAACAUUUUAGUCAGCUGACUGGUUUUGGUGAACAUAGUGCCAAAUAUCCUCACUGGUUUAUCUCUAUAUAAUUGAUAGAUCUUGUUUUUAAACUGUCAGAUUCUGUCCAUCUUUUUUGACUCGGAAUCACUCUGUGGCCAUGCAAGUCCUAGUCAAUUCCAUCACCGUUAUUCUUUGAAUUGAUUGGUAAGUUCCCUCAAAAGAAUCAACCCAGACAAUUGACACAGCCUCACUCAGGCCCAGAGAAAGCACUCUCAGGUCAUGUCUAUAAGAUGCCAAAAUAUCCACUCGGGUCAAUCAAUUCAGUGGGAAAUCAGUCUAACCACCAGCUAUUGCACAGUGUAGGCAAAACAAUGUUCCCUUGUCAGCCUGAGGUGACUUAACUUUGUAAAUGGCCAGUGUCCUUCCUCCUCCUUAUUGAGCUGACUUGUUAGGACAAAAAAAUGUGUGUUCAUAUGGACACACGCACACGUACAUACCACACCACACUACUCUUAGUUGUCUCUUUUGGGGAGAGAAAGGACUUGGUGAUAAAAAAACUUAUGCUGGCAGGGGCAGUGGGAAGACCUUGGGAUGACUUAUCUCAGGUGUGCAUUUUUAUAAAUGGGACUCAGAUUGAAGCUUUGGCCGAUAAUUGCCCCAUUUGAUGGAAUGAGAGAGAAGGAGCCAACUAGAAUGGGGCUUGGCCAUGUUAACUGGUCAUGAAUAAAAAUGACCCAAUGUAUAUUUGCAUAUGUUUGGGCUUUUGUAUUUAGCUUUUUAUACUUUUGUUCCAGGACUUGCAUGUUUGUAUCCCCACAUAUUCACAUAUGUCUGAAUGUUUGGGUUUGUGUUCCUGUUUUCCGACAUGCCUGAGUCUGCUGAUAUGUACUUGUACAUUUGCAUCUGUCUCUGACUGUUUGCAUGUGUUUGUACAUGGCCUGUAUAUGACCAGUUAGAUUUGCCUGUGCCUCUGUGCAUUUCUCCUUUUGGGUUUCUGUAAAAGGAUGCAAUUACAUGUAUCUGCUUGUCUUUAGAGAUCAGUAACUCCAAAGUGAGACUUCAGACAUCUUGCAAAUGCCUGGCAAGCCAAGGAUGAAAUCUGAUGCUAGAGAAUAGUUGGGCUGGCCCUCUGCUCAGAUCCCCUCUGGCUCAACAACCAUUUUUGCCCAAGAUGAGAUCUGCAGUGUCUUCCAAGGACCCCUUCUGUCUAUCUCCACAACAUGUUGACCUCCAGGGUCCUCUCUCAGGCCAUUUUUAAUGGACCCAAUGAGUAGAGAUGAGUCUCUCGAAGUGAACUGGGAUUUUAAGAUGGAAAUAAAAAAGGAAACUUCAUCUUUUUCUCCCCACUCUCUUCAUUUUCCCUUAUUGACAUUCAUCAACUCUGAGCCUGAGGCACAAGGGAGACAGCUACUUUGCAUUUUUUAGAUCUUUUUCACAUUUUAAAAGCUAAAAAAAAUUGCUAAAAUUUUUUAGGCAGGUAUGAUAAUCAUAUUGUGGUUAUGCUGUAAAAAAUGUCUUUAUCUUAUAGAUAUUCAUUCAACUGUUCACAGAAGAAAUUCUAUGAUGUCUCGGAUUUGCUUCAGAAUAUAUGAGGUAGGGGUUGGGUUCAAUUUAGAUGAAACUAGAUUGGCUGUGAAUCGAUCAUUGUUAAAGUGAGGUGAUGGGUACAUGAGCGUUUGAUUACGUUGUUCUCUUCAUGAUUUUGUUUGACUUUCCUCUAGUAGAAAAGAAUUGCGUUCAAAAAAUAAAAAUAAAAAGAAUCUUGUUCGCUCAA
This is a long non-coding RNA of Pteropus alecto (black flying fox), 2637 nucleotides long. RefSeq lists it as uncharacterized. The transcript is spliced from 3 exons. The record is from RefSeq and is a predicted model, not a curated record. Lineage: Eukaryota; Metazoa; Chordata; Mammalia; Chiroptera; Pteropodidae.